RNAcentral lists this ribosomal RNA (287 nucleotides) under uncultured bacterium. RNAcentral's name for it is "partial 16S ribosomal RNA". It matches the Rfam family "Bacterial small subunit ribosomal RNA", at positions 773 to 1060 of the family's 1533-position model. The record is from RNAcentral.
GUGGAUUAGAUACCCUGGUAGUCCACGCCGUAAACGUUGGGCACUAGGUGUGGGGUCUUAUCAACGGACUCCGUGCCGCAGCUAACGCAUUAAGUGCCCCGCCUGGGGAGUACGGCCGCAAGGCUAAAACUCAAAGGAAUUGACGGGGGCCCGCACAAGCGGCGGAGCAUGUUGCUUAAUUCGAGGCAACGCGAAGAACCUUACCUGGGCUUGACAUGUACCGAAAAGCCAUAGAGAUAUGGUGUCCUUCGGGGCGGUACACAGGUGGUGCACGGCCGUCGUCAGCU